Molecule: long non-coding RNA, 1078 nt
Organism: Talpa occidentalis (Iberian mole)
Lineage: Eukaryota; Metazoa; Chordata; Mammalia; Eulipotyphla; Talpidae
Exons: 7
Source: RefSeq, a predicted model, not a curated record
UAACCUUGGGACAAGUUCACUUGGCUAAAAUGCUGCUGUGGUUUUUCUGUUCAUGAUUGGCUUCUGACUGAAACACUCCUGAAUGGACCAUAAAGCAAAUGCAAAAGACAUUUAAAAAAGGCUUCCCAGCAAGCAAUGAUUAGAAGAGCUACUGGGGAUGAGCUGAGUCUCCACAAGUGAGGAAAGGAUCCUAGGACGUUGUCAUUCACACUGGAGGUAUGACUCCAUGGAAGACAUGGACUUCAGGAGUUUCUUGGAUGAGUACAAAGUCUGAAAACCAGUGGCAACACAAUCUAGGAGUUGGUUUUGUCAAAACACUUGGGAAUGAGGAUGUUUUCCCAGACAUGUGCUUGGGUCCGCUAAUGCCUGGCAUACCUCCAUGGAAAAGGAUCUUUCUGUAGAACCUGGUGGCCCUGGGAACAACACUGCCACCUACUGGUACUUAUCUCAGACUGCAGCUCAGAUUACCAGACCCUGUAGAAAUGUGGAUAUAAUGUGGAGAUCAAAAAAUCUGACAACCCCACAAUGGGUUUGUACAAGUGAACAGAAAUGUCUGUUUCCUGCUAAAUCCAUUAGAAACUGAUAUAGGGGUGAGAAGAAAAGAAGUGAUGGAAAAGUUAGGUAUUGAGGGAGUCUAUCAGUGGGUUACAAAGUGAGUACUGGAGAUGCCGGCCCAAAGAGGGAACGUAUCCUAUGGUCGUACCUUACCAAAGAGAAGAGUUUAACCAAGGAAGAGGACUAGGACUAAGAGAGAAAGCAAAUGAAGAGGAGAAAAGAAUAGGGGUGAGAAGGAAAGCAAAUGCAACAAAGCAGAGAACUGAACUGGCUUUGGACACGUGCCCACCUCCAUGAAUGAGCCAGGGAGGCAGUGCACCAGGGGCUCUAGAAGUCUGCUUUGAGAAACUGCCAUGGUGUUUCUGUAUCUUUCUGCUCAAUCAGAAAUUUUAAUGUUCAAGACCCAGGCUGAAGUAGCUGAUCUUAUCUGGAAGUUAAAAGUGGAACAAGAGAGCGUGGCAAACUCAAGUUCCUAAAUUUCCACUUAGAACUGAUACGUAUCACUUCUGCUCAGAUGUCAUUU